RNAcentral lists this ribosomal RNA (200 nucleotides) under uncultured bacterium. Its description in RNAcentral is "partial 16S ribosomal RNA". It matches the Rfam family "Bacterial small subunit ribosomal RNA", at positions 29 to 254 of the family's 1533-position model. The record is from RNAcentral.
AACGAACGCUGGCGGCAGGCCUAACACAUGCAAGUCGAACGGGUGCCUUCGGGCACUAGUGGCGGACGGGUGAGUAACGCGUGGGAACGUACCCUUUGGUUCGGAAUAGCCCUGGGAAACUGGGAGUAAUACCGGAUACGGCCGAGAGACGAAAGAUUUAUCGCCGAAGGAUCGGCCCGCGUUGGAUUAGGUAGUUGGUG